This 585-nucleotide ribosomal RNA is filed under the name uncultured bacterium. RNAcentral describes it as "partial 16S ribosomal RNA". It matches the Rfam family "Bacterial small subunit ribosomal RNA", at positions 355 to 1375 of the family's 1533-position model. The record is from RNAcentral.
UGGGGAAUUUUGGACAAUGGGCGAAAGCCUGAUCCAGCAAUGCCGCGUGUGUGAAGAGGGCCUUCGGGUUGUAAAGCACUUUUGUCCGGAAAGAAAUCCUUGGCUCUAAUACAGUCGGGGGAUGACGGUACCGGAAGAAUAAGCACCGGCUAACUACGUGCCAGCAGCCGCGGUAAUACGUAGGGUGCAAGCGUUAAUCGGAAUUACUGGGCGUAAAGCGUGCGCAGGCGGUUUGCUAAGACCGAUGUGAAAUCCCCGGGCUCAACCUGGGAACUGCAUUGGUGACUGGCAGGCUAGAGUAUGGCAGAGGGGGGUAGAAUUCCACGUGUAGCAGUGAAAUGCGUAGAGAUGUGGAGGAAUACCGAUGGCGAAGGCAGCCCCCUGGGCCAAUACUGACGCUCAUGCACGAAAGCGUGGGGAGCAAACAGGAUUAGAUACCCUGGUAGUCCACGCCCUAAACGAUGUCAACUAGUUGUUGGGGAUUCAUUUCCUUAGUAACGUAGCUAACGCGUGAAGUUGACCGCCUGGGGAGUACGGCCGCAAGAUUAAAACUCAAAUGAAUUGACGGGGUCAUAGCUGUUUCCU